UUGCACUGAUGACUUGAAAAAUCUGUCAAUCCACUGAGUGUGAUCACUGAUGUCUCCAUGUUUCUGAGCAA
Cricetulus griseus (Chinese hamster) is the source of this 71-nucleotide small nucleolar RNA. Ensembl annotates it as small nucleolar RNA SNORD110. Its record names the gene Snord110. NCBI's taxonomy places the organism in Eukaryota, Metazoa, Chordata, Mammalia, Rodentia, Cricetidae. The record is from Ensembl.